GAGUUUGAUCAUGGCUCAGGACGAACGCUGGCGGCGUGCUUUAUACAUGCAAGUCAAGGAGAAAGCUUUCUUCGGAAAGCGAUUAAACUGGCGAACGGGUGAGUAACGCGUAGGCAACCUGCCCUAUAGAUUGGGAUAACAUCGGGAAACUGAUGCUAAUACCGGAUGAUGCAACACUUUCUUCGGAAAGAGUUGUUAAAGCGGGCUUCGGCUCGCGCUUUAGGAUGGGCCUGCGUCCGAUUAGCUUGUUGGUAAGGUAACGGCUUACCAAGGCAAUGAUCGGUAGCUGGUCUGAGAGGAUGAUCAGCCACACUGGGAUUGAGAUACGGCCCAGACUCCUACGGGAGGCAGCAGUAGGGAAUUUUGCGCAAUGGGGGAAACCCUGACGCAGCAACGCCGCGUGACCGAUGAAGCAUCUAGGUGCGUAAAGGUCUGUCGUAAGGGAAGAAAAAUUUGGAUGUAAAUAAUGUUCAAAUCUGACGGUACCUUACAAGAAAGCACCGGCUAACUUCGUGCCAGCAGCCGCGGUAAUACGAGGGGUGCAAGCGUUGUCCGGAAUCACUGGUCGUAAAGGGUCCGUAGGCGUUUCAAUAAGUCAUAUGUUAAAGGCACCGGCUUAACCGGUGGCCUGCAUUUGAAACUGUUGAAAUAGAGUAUAGGAGAGGAAAGUGGAAUUCCUGGUGUAGCGGUGACAUGCGUAGAUAUCAGAGGAACAUCAAUGGCGAAGGCAGCUUUCUGGCCUAUUACUGACGCUGAGGGACGAAAGCGUGGGGAGCGAA
Molecule: ribosomal RNA, 779 nt
Filed under: uncultured bacterium
Lineage: Bacteria
Description: bacterial SSU rRNA
Rfam family: Bacterial small subunit ribosomal RNA
Source: RNAcentral